CCCGGUGACUCAACGCCGUGGAACUACCUCUUCUCAUUCCGAACAGAGCCGUAAAACGCGGUAGUGCCGAUGAUACUCUUUACGGGGAAAGUAGGUAGUCGCCGGGA
RNAcentral lists this ribosomal RNA (107 nucleotides) under Parcubacteria group bacterium. The record is from RNAcentral. RNAcentral also lists the same sequence under 1 other name.